Molecule: long non-coding RNA, 733 nt
Filed under: Capra hircus (goat)
Lineage: Eukaryota; Metazoa; Chordata; Mammalia; Artiodactyla; Bovidae
Description: lncRNA (ENSCHIG00000007088.1)
Source: RNAcentral
CACAAGUUUUCUUGUAUGUGGUCUUUGAAUGCUGACUCUCCUUCCUUGAACAGCAGUAGAAAGGUAUUUUCAAGUUUCCUGGAUCAAUAACUCCCUGGACAUUUGGGACAGAGAUACACUGUCAUCCUUGGAGCUCAAGACAGCAUUAAACACUCUGCUGCCAUCUUGGCAAGCUGUCCACGCCUAAGACCUGCCGGGCAGGAGCGCCUGUUCCUGCUUCUGCAUCCCCCUCACAGCUCGUGCGUCUCCCUGCUCCAGGCCUGAGGCCACCACGAAUUAGAUAAACGAUGACAACAGGUGUCAUUAAUACCCGACAUGUGUAAUGUACCUGGCCCAUGCUAAGUGGCUUCUGUGCUGCAUCUUACUUUUCUCCACAGAGCAGGUGGAAACUGCCAGCAGCCCCUUUCUACAGCUGAGCAAAAGGCCCAGAGAAGCAGAGUCACGCACUCAAGGUCGCACAGCUGGCCUGCAAACCCAGGUCCCUCUGGGACCUUGCAGGCACCUCUCUCCACUGAAAAAGGAUCGUUUGGAGAUCGGCGCUGCCACGGUUCUGUGGUGGUUGACUUUCCCUCGCGUGAAAUGAGAAAUGCUGUUUGAAUAACAGAUGGUGAGGGAGGCCGUGAACACUCUGAUGUAGAAAUAAAAACCUUUAGAAAGAUGCAGUCUGGGGGAAUACUGGAAACUGGAGAAUGGAACGUCAGUCUAUAAAAUGCAACAUGACCAAUAAAGCUGG